AACGAACGCUGGCGGCAUGCCUAACACAUGCAAGUCGAACGAGACCUUCGGGUCUAGUGGCGCACGGGUGCGUAACGCGUGGGAACCUGCCCUUAGGUUCGGAAUAACUCCCCGAAAGGGGUGCUAAUACCGGAUAAUGUCUUCCGACCAAAGAUUUAUCGCCUUUGGAUGGGCCCGCGUUGGAUUAGCUAGUUGGUAGGGUAAAAGCCUACCAAGGCGACGAUCCAUAGCUGGUUUGAGAGGCUGAUCAGCCACACUGGGACUGAGACACGGCCCAGACUCUUACGGGAGGCAGCAGUGGGGAAUAUUGGACAAUGGGCGAAAGCCUGAUCCAGCAAUGCCGCGUGAGUGAUGAAGGCCUUAGGGUUGUAAAGCUCUUUUACCCGGGAUGAUAAUGACAGUACCGGGAGAAUAAGCUCCGGCUAACUCCGUG
RNAcentral lists this ribosomal RNA (433 nucleotides) under uncultured bacterium. Its description in RNAcentral is "partial 16S ribosomal RNA". It matches the Rfam family "Bacterial small subunit ribosomal RNA", at positions 29 to 507 of the family's 1533-position model. The record is from RNAcentral.